This 1070-nucleotide long non-coding RNA is filed under the name Ornithorhynchus anatinus (platypus). RNAcentral's name for it is "lncRNA (ENSOANG00000048318.1)". Lineage: Eukaryota; Metazoa; Chordata; Mammalia; Monotremata; Ornithorhynchidae. The record is from RNAcentral.
GCCGGUGGCCACUUAGGAGGCUCUCGCCGGGUUCGGUCCGUGGGCCACUUGCCAGCUUCCCCAGUCCUCCCCGAAGGAGCUGUCCACAUCGGCUUCCAGCUAGAGCAUCCCGGGGCUUCCGUCUCUGGCACCGGCCUUGUUUACCUCCCCUCUCCUUCUCACCCUGGAUCCCGCUCCCAGCCCCCUACACACCCCACAUUCCUGAGCUCCCCUAUCCCCGUCAUAUCCUCUUCCCUGCCAUUUCGGGCUCAUUUCCUCCAUUUGUUCUCAGCUCGUAUUUUCUUCUUUCAACGCCACGCCACACACGAGGACCCAGCCUGCUUUUUGAAGUGCACUAGGUGGUGGGGGCCCCGUGUCUGUGGGCCAGGAAUCCUGUCUCCCAGGACUCCGCUUUUCCUCCGGAGGACAUUCCGAUCGGAAUCGCUGUCGGUGGGAAUCGGAGGAGAGCCGGCGGUCCAAGUGUCAUCCAGGAAAUCCCCUAGACUCACAUUCCAGCCCCUCCCAGAAGAUACGUCUCAGGACAAGAGUGCUGCAACUUGAUCUAUCCAGAAGCACCGUGGUCUAGUGGUUAGAGCACGGGCCUGGGAGUCAGUAGGACCUGGCUUCUAUUCCCGGCUCCACCACUGUCUGCUGUGUGACCUGGGGUGAGUCACUUCACUUCUCUCUGCCUCAGUUGCCUCAUCUGUAAAAUAGGGCUUAAGACUGCGAGCGCCAUGUGGAACGUGGACUGUGUCCGGCCUGAUUAACUUGUGCUUAGUGCUUAGAACCGUGCCUGGCACAGAAUAAGCACUUAAUAAAUGCCAUUAAACAAAAUCAGUGGUACUUACCGAGUGCUUACUUUAUCGAGCACUCAAUAGUGUCCAUAACACUGCAAAAGCACUUGGGAGAGAACAAUGCGAGUGUCGGUAGACACAAUCUAAUCUAGUGGCUUCAAGGAACUGGCUUCCCAUCCUGUCUUACAGUCAAUCAAAGGUAUUUACUGAGUGCUUACUAUGUGCAGAGCACCAUAUUAAGCACUUGGGAGAGUACAAUAGAACAGAAUCUUCCCGGCCUGGCAGCCAAAGAUCGAG